UCUUCAGUGUUCUUCUGAAGGCUAUCAGAGAUGGUGCAUCUCUUACUUUGACAGGGAGUACAUUCCACACCCUGGGACAACUACAGAAAAGGCUCACCACUGAGUCAUCACAAGACUUGUGCUUUGUAACCAAUUUCCAAAGAUAGAACAUUGCACAGCAUCAUCUUUUAUGAAGGGCAGUCGUGCAAAUUAGUUUUUUUACCUGAGAAUAUACAAAAAUGGUGACUAGGAAAGGAUUGGGCCCCUGUGUAUUUGUGCUGAUCUUCAUAAAUGGUUCACAUCCCUACUGUGAACCGGGAAAUCAGUUUUCAAUACAAAAUGCAUUGUAUGAGGCAGCCCUUGUGUUUAUGCAUAGUUCCCUCUUACCAUUCUUCCCCACUCCACCUUUCUAGCACACCAUCUUGCUUAAACAGAGCUUUCAAAGAGAAAGCUGUCCCCUGUUGGGAUGGCAAACAAGCAUUUUCCUUUCCUUUUCUCUUUGAUUUCUUUAAAUUGUACACCUUUCUGGUAUAGUAGAUAGAGGCUUCCUCACUGCCCUGAAGUAUCGCUUCUUCUCUUGUCUCCCGAGACUGAUCCAGCCAGGAGUGUCUGGAGGGCACUUGACAGAAAAGAGAUUUAUCACCAUGCUCUUUAGUCGAGAGUACCUUUAAGGUAGGCCCGUCUCUCUUGGAAAUGUCACUUGUGACCGAUAAGUCUUGCAUUGAUAUCACAAUGCAAGGUCAGACAAAGACAAGUGGGAGGAGUUCCUGUUUUCAUCAUGUCUUCUCAUAAAUACGGUUCUAUAAAAUCACAUCAAGACUGAGGAACACAGCAGAGAGGCUGCAACAUGACAAUGAGAGGCAGAAGGUUUGUGAGCUUUUGCCCUUCACAAGUGGCUGCAUGCUAGCAUACUGAUAGAGAUUAAGAGAAUCCAUCCUGCAAGACACAGCAGUAUCAGUUAAAGUGGGUGGACUUAUUUGACAUAGUCCUCGGCUAGUCCAGGGACACCUUUAUUUAGCCUCUUGCUGGAAGAGAACGUUUUGUACUUUGGCAAUGUUGGCCUUCCUUGCUCUGUGGAUUAAUGGAAACAUACAUCAGGGUUUAAAAGCCCCCAGUGAUAAUCUGUAAAUAUGCUUAGGCACUGUCUCUCGGCAGCACCUCUAGGGAAUCCUUUUCUCUCUGCUUCAUGAAGAUAAAUCAUUAUUAAAAUUCUGAGGCAUCCUUAGCUGUUGGAGAUGGAGACUAUGAGAACAGUAGUAGUACUAGGGCUUCCAUGCACUCGGAGCAUGUAUGUACAUUUAUUCCUUCACCUCCUACUGGAGUAGGAGGAGUGAGGUGAAGAUGAGUAACAUGACAUUUUUGGCACUUUAAAAUAAGCAGAGCCACUCACUGUGUGCCACUGAUAUUUAAAAAGGACAGAAAAUCUGAUAAGAAAGCUGAGGUAAGUCUAGAGAGACAUUCGGGACACAGAUCAGUUUUAAUCCUUAUACAAAGAGUGCUUGUUCCUGUUAAUUACCUAGUGUCUACUUUUCAGGUUAGACCUUCCUGCAUUGCCUGAUUACAGGUAGUAUACCAGCAAAUAGUAAAUGCAUUCUAGAACAAAUGAACCCAAAAUUGCCAGUAUAGUUCUAAGAACAAUUAAAUGUAAAUUCUCUACUCUGUUGCUACCAGAUUACUGUGCAUAUAUUUAUGUGGAGUGCUGGCACUUUCAAUUUAAAUUUAAAUUUUGCAUUUAAUGCGCUGUAAAGCAUUGAGGGGAAACAGUAACAUCAGUGGGAGAGCUGACUAAAUUAAAAUGAACAAGCCUUGUGCACCAUCAGCAAUAACAAUAGAAGUGUCAUCUAUUAUUUCUGUUUAUAUGUAGCAAUAUCUCUUCCUAUAAACAAGGCACCGGAGCAUUGAAUUAAUCAAUAGAGCAGAUUGGCUGGAUGUUCAUAGAUUCUGUUUCGAAAGAGUUGUGUAGUUAUGUCUCUGCACGUCGGUGACAUGGAGACUAACCAACUCAUAGUGGAAUGGACAGUCCCUGAACUAGAUCUUGCACUUUUGUGGGAGCAGUGCAGUGGCUCUCAUACAGCAUAAGCAGCCAUGCAUGUUGUAACACAGUGUGCACACAUGUGGCUGUGGAUGUGUGCAGGACUGCACUUGUGCAACUGUGUGCACGCCGUGUUACAAUGUGCACAGCUGCUUGCUUGCACAAUGCUGUGAGUCACUAUCCUGUGCUCUCCCACUCUGUGCAUUUGGACUCGAGGCUGCCCUGCAUGAUGCCAUCUAUCUCUUUAAAUUGCUGCAAUAUGUUGCCAUACAUUGUCUGGAAUGUUUUCUUGCUUUCCCCCUCCCUGCUGGCACUACUACUAUGAAUACUUAUAUACCGCUUCUCAACAAAAGUUCUCAAAGCAGUUCACAUAGAAAAAAUAAAUGUAAGAUAGUCCCCUGUCCCCAAAAGAGCUCACAAUCUAAAAGAAACACCAGGGAGACACCAGCAACAGCCACUGGAGGGAUGCUCUGCUGGAGCUGGAUAGGGCCAGUUGGUCUCCCCCUGCUAAAUAUAAGAGAACCACCACUUUAAGUGGUGCCUCUUUGUCCUACCAGAGCCUAUUUAUUUAUUUAUUUGUGAAUUUGUAUAGUUUUGCACCUGUGUACCCAUCUACUUAGAGACCUUGCUUGUCUUGUCUGCUAAGCCUGGAUAUUUAAAGCCUAGAUAUUUUAGGAAACCCAGACUCAUUUGCUUAGUGAUCCCAUCUCAAUGUUAUCUUCUUGUGAUGAAUCUGAGCCUGCGUUUGCUUGGGUUCUUAAUAACAAGAACAGCCCGGCUGGAUCAGGCCCAAGGCCCAUCUCGUCCAGCAUCCUGUUUCGCACAGUGGCCCACCGGAUGCCGCUGGAAGCCACAGGCAGGAGUUGAGGGCAUGCCCUCUCUCCUGCUGUUACUCCCCUGCAACUGGUACUCAGAGGCAUCCUGUCCUUGAGGCUGGAGGUGGCACACAGUCCUCAGACAAGUUAGCCGUUGAUAGACCUCUCCUCCAUGUAGUUAUCCAAACCCUUCUUAAAGCCAUUCAGGUUGUUGGUUGUCACCACAUCUUGUUAUUAUUUUGAUAUUAUUGAUAUCAAAUUGAUAUUAUUUAUCAAUAAUAAAUGUGCAGCCUGCUUGCUCUGAGCCAUGACAUGUUAAAAAUGCUGGGCUCCAUCUGGGAGAUUGCAAGGCUUCUUGGGCCUGCAAAAUAAGUCCCUUGUAUACAGAGAGCAACUAAGGUCUCCUCUCCAUUGUCUAAGCCAAAUAAAAGGUGUGACCAGGUACUCUGUAGGGGAAGGACAUCGUAUGCAUCCUCUGACUCCUUUCCCUACCAUUUUCAAUUAAAAUGUUAAUAAAUAUUGGUGCCUAGAAAUGAUUGUUACCUUUGCUUGAUGUCAUUAAUGGCGCACAUGCUGGAGGGUGGGUGGGUGAGUAGGUGGCUUGUCUCUUUUAUCAAGCUGGAAAUUGAACUUUAAGAAAGAGGUGAGAUUGGUGUGUUAGAGAGCUCAUUUGCCUUCACUUAACCUGAUAUGAGCCUAGAAACCACAUAGCAUGAGGGGAGCUGCAGCUGCACUGGACCACAUGCAGUUCAGAAACCUUCUGCCCAAGUUUAAGGUGGUUUGAACAAUGCAUACUUGCCCUGCCCUCCAAGCCCCGCUUGGCAAACAGCUUCUGCUAGACAGAGAAGUAAGCCAGCUCGAAACCAUGGUUUCCUUUAUGAAAAAUAAGUUUGUAACCAUGUUUCCUGCAAGUCUGCUUCAAAAAUAUUUUAACAAAUCUUAGCCUCCAUAAGCCACUUGUGCUGCUUAAAAGAAAAUGACAGGAAAAUGUAGCAUAUCCCCCCCACCCCCCACCCCCACUGUUGCUUCUCGCAAAGUUAAAGUCAAGCCGGAGGACUUAGCUGGGCUGCUUAAAGACUAAAGCAGUGUUGUACCAAGAGAGCUACCUGUGAAGUACCUUGGAGGAGUCAGCGGACUGAGUGCUUAAGAAGAGCAUUCAGACUUUGUAUGAAUUACCAGAAGGUGGCCCUAAAGCUCAAGGAUUUAUGUGAGAGCUCCGCAGAGUUUUCAUAGUGAAAUUUAUGUUCCCUCAGCAACCCUUUGUUCAGUAGAAUGAACUGCAUACAAAGUGCUCCUUAGAUUUUUGCAAGAUUAUCAGGCAAAGUGCACCACACCAAGUAACUAAUCUGCUUCAAACGGCAAGGAGGAAAAAAAUGAAUUGAAAUACCGACAUGCACCACAGCAACAUUUAAAAAUGUGUCCAUCAGGAGGGCAUGCCUGUAAAGUAAUCCCCUUCUGCCACAGGAUGGAAAGUUGUAGUAGCCCACCAGCUGAAGGCCACAGGGUAGAACAAUAGUCUUCCGGCACCACUGUUUGAGCUUGACCUUGCAGGCAGAACUGGAAGCACCGAACAAACAGUACCCCAUUAACCCAUUCCUGCAAGAUGACUCAGGAUAUCACUCUGGGCAUGUAUGUACAUGUAUUCCUUUACCUACUGAAAUUGGGACUGGCAUCACAGAGACGUCAGUGAGCCAGAAAGGAGUGAGGUGAAGAUGAGUAACAUGACAUUUUUGGCACUUUAAAAUAAGCAGAGCCAAGAGGUCCAAGAGAACUAACAUGGAUGCACUCUCACUGGCUCGUCUUCUGGUGCAGAUAACCCAGCGAGGCAACUAAAGCAGGUUGUUUCAGAACUGUCCAGGAGCCAGUUUAGAAUGGAUCCACACAAUCCGUUUCAUCCAUUUAUAUUGUGAAACUGAGAUGACAGCACAUGCUCAAACACCUUAUCUAAAUAAAGAGGAUUUGACUUGGGCAAUAGUUCUUACAUCACCUGGAUCCAGAUUCUUUUUUUUUCAGGAGAGAGUCUUGCCACAGCCUGCUUCAGGGACUUAAGCACCAAGCCCUCAAUGAGGGACUGCCCACCUCCAAAACCCAGAUAGACCCGGUCUGAUAUCUGUAAUCAGCUAGUAUGGAUGAAGGUAAAGUGUGAGGUACUUGCCUCUGCUCACCCAGCAGCCUGUUCAGGUUGUUAGAUGAAGGAUAUCCAUCAUAAGACCAGUCAGAGCCAUAGGUAACACCCUCUCUGCCACAAAUGGAACAGAUGUGAAAAAUCUUAUCUGCAAAAUGUUUUGCAAACUGGUGAUAAUGGGUUACCAAGGAUCAACUCCGUUUGUAGGCUAGGGUGUAACUGACCUUUCAUCACCCAGGAAAACUCUGCUGGCUGACACUGAGCAGAUGCAGUGGUUGAAGAGAGAAAAACACCACCAUCAUUACCAAGAACUAGAUCCUAAUAUAGGCUCUAGCCUGUGUUUGGCUGGAUUUGUCCCAGGUUUUCUGCUCUUUGCACUCUGGCUGUUGGCCUAUUUAUUUAAUUGUUCCAAACUCCUUGGAAAACCAAGGAAAACCAAGGAGCUAGUUGGAAUCUGUGACUUGGGAGAGGGUGUCUAGCUAUUUAAAACUGAAGAACUUGUCUUGUAGGUGUUCAGAUUUUUAGCAACCUGAAAAUAGAUCAAACCCCAAUUUUCAGUCCAUAAAGAUCCUUAAAUAAUUUCAAAAUGAAGAAAAAGCUGUAUGCAUGUUUCCUUCUAUUUAGAAAUAAACAAAAUAUACAUAUUUUAUGCUUCCCUAUAUGCCAACUCAUUGUCCUGUUUAACCUGUUAUGUAAAUUCCUUUAGAAAGACUGUGACAGGUUUUAAUUCAAAAAAUUGUAAACCACAUUGCCACCAACGCACACCCAGUUAAAAAAAAUCAUGCAAUACGGGGCCAAGAAGACAACGCAAGCAAAUUAAAAUCCAUAUAAAAUCAAUAAGAUACUUGUGCCUUUAUAUUCAAUAGGUAUGGCUAGCUUUGGGUUGGGGGUCAGUGGCCCACAUGAUGCUCAAGUCAACCCCAACACACAUCCAUUUAAGACAUGGAUGUAUUAAACAGCAACAUGCUUAUGGAAAAAGGUUUGAAACGUUACUGAAUUUAUGAAGAAGGAAGGAGGUAGGGAAGAACAGCUGCAUUGAGUCUCAUUAACCAUACAUUUCAUUGGCUUCAUUCUAAAUGUCCCUAAUAUCUUUUUAAAAAUCUCUCUUGUAUUUUUUCAAUGACAGCCUAAACUAAAAAGUUAAUUAUUAUGCAUAUGGGGGAAUAAAUGCAGAAGCACUGCAUUUUAACAUUCUCUAUUUAUAUGUUGUACAAACCCUAUUUGUUCUACUUAGCAAUGGUUGACUACCACUGAAAACAAUUCUGGGUGAAAAUAACUUAUUUUGACCAAAUAAGGAUUCCAUCUGGGGUAAAUCUAUGUAAUCUCAUGUUGCUAAUUUAACACAAUCAUUGCACAGUAUACAUACCAUAAAUAUUUGCAGAGUGAAAUUACACUGGUGAGUUGAGAUUAUUUUAGAACACUGGUUAGCAAGGAGUAUUUACCAACUGUUUCAUACUGAAGAUUCUCCAUUAGUUCUAAUCUGGAAUAUAGGACUUGCUUUUAAUUGUUUUAACCACAACAGGUCAUCUGUAGUAUUCACUUCCUUUCCCUCUGUCUUUCUUCUUUUCUUUAAAAAAAAACAACCCCAAAAAACCCAUACAUAGUGCUGUUGGUGUGACCCACACUGGAUCACAAUUCACCAUCAUUUCUUCUAGGGCAUUGAAAAAGUAUAUGCUAGAUGGCAAUGCAAUCUCUAUGCAAGUGGAAGAGUCAAAUCUACUUUUAUCAUGUUAUAGAAAUGUGGAUCUUUGUUGACAGCCUUUAUAUAUAAAUUUGUAAAAACAAAAGUAUGAUAUUCUAUUAGAGCCCAGGGUCUCAUCAUCAGACCCAAAGGUUUGGCCUUUUGUAUUCUCAAGAGGGAAAUUCCACAUGUGGAAACUUCAUAGUUCCCUGUUACUGGAAUAGUAAAUCAGUGUUUAGAAAGUCAAAAGCUAGUACUAGUUUAGAUUGGAGAAAAUACCUUUUGCAGAAGUUUAAUUCAAUUACAUUUUUCCUUUCUAAAGGUUAUAGAUGGGAAAUAUUUCAUACAAAGGUGCAUCCCCCCCCCCGCCCUGCAUCCCCACUGCUAAAAAUUCAGUCAUUCAAAGUCCCUUAUGAGGUUGCAGGUUUUCAAUUUUGGUGAUAAUCUUUUUUCUGUGUACAAGUAUUUGCUUGGAUAGUUAUCUUUAAAAUUGAUCAUUAUGUGUAGAGGCUUGCAGACAUGAAAUUCUUUCAAAUAUCAGGAAUAUUAAUUAGGUUCAUGAAAUAUUCAGGUAGAAGCAUAUUAAAAUCAUUCUCAUUUUAAGAGGAAAUCAAGUUGCUAAAAGACGGCAGUCAUCUCACCAGAACAAUGUCAGCUCUAGGCCUAGGUGGGGGAGUUCUAUAAACCAGAGUUUUAUUUCUGGAGUGUUAUAUUUCUUAGCAGGUUCAUGUCUGUAUUUCCCUUUCUGCAAUACAACCCAGAUAACAUCAUAAUUUUUAAAUAUGUCAUGAAAUUGAAUUGCAGGUUGUAUUUCCUGAAAGCUCUGCCAUCCUGCAGAACACUUUUUUUUUUUUAAUUUUCCCACCCCACCUCCACAAAAAAGGGCAAUGAAAACUUGUAAAUAAAGAAAUGUGCCAUGUAUUUUUCCACACAAAUAUAAUAUUAAAGUGUUUGUAUAUAUAUGACAGUAAAUGCUAUCAAUUCAUAUAAGCUUAUUAAAGAAUACAAAACACAUUCUGUUGUAAACUUUAAAGAAUAUUUAAUAACUUUUUAAAAAAUAAUGUAUAGUUUUUUUCCCUUCCUAUGAGGUGCAUGAAAAUAUACCAUUCCUUUUUGCUGCAGCGAGAAAAUCCAAGUAACCAAGGAAAGCUACAAUGAGCAGGAGCAGGUAAUGCUAGGGAAAUUAUAUUCAGAAUGAAAUUUGGAACAAAAUAAAGCUACUUAGUUAAGAGCUUUGAAAAUGGAGGGCAACAUUUUCAAAAACAUAGGAUGUAGGUGCCGAGUUGCUCAGAUCUCGCACAUCAUCAAUAGGACUCAGGGCUUCUUCAUAUGUUGCAUUUUUAGAUGUAUGCCUAAGAUGUUUUAAUUGCACAUCUAAAAAUGCAAUGUGUGAACUUGGUGAUAGGGUUGCUGCAAUUGUCUGGGUUAAACUCUCACAUCUCUCACCUGUUUUUGCUUUUGUUUGUUUAUCAGAGGUUUGCUGUGGACCACUAUCAAGUGUACACUCAACAGAAAACCCAGGUUUUUCCCUCAUAAUGUGCAGAAUGCCCAAGCUUCUAAGGCUGCAACCCUAUGCACAGCUAUUUAACCCAUGUUUUAUUAAUGUGUUCAUCGCCGCUAUUCUGCUCUCCAGAGAUGAGAAUCCACACGCUGUCAGCAGGAAUGCUUGUGGAAACAACAGUGGUAAUGAGCCAUGACAACUACUAAACAGCAAUGAUGCUCUCAAGCUGCAGUCGGUCCACAGCUAAGGAAAAGGGUGUGGGAAGGGAGCAAAAACCACGGGAAGAGAAGGAAAGUAACAGCUUAAGGACAUAAUUAUUCAAAGCCUGCACAGGACAAAGGACAGUGAGAGAGGUAGGAAGCAUGAUGGUGAAUCAGGACAAGUUCAAUUCGAAGUUCUUCCUGUGGAGUUUGCAUGUGUUUUCCACAACAGCAGCUGUUUCUUUUACUCGCGUAUCAAUGUAGCAGGGGAUGUGUUCCAACUUGGUCAGACUUUUUGCAUGAUUGGCACUUGAGGGGCCAGGGUUCAGCUUCUUUCCCAAUCCCGUUCUGUUUGUGUUGGAGCCAUUUGUAUAAUUAUGAGCAACUAAAGCCCCUGAGUCUGCUGCUAGGGUUCAAAUCUUUGAAGGGGCAGGGAGGACUAGGGAUUUCUAUAUUCUUAGCUCCUUUCUCAAACUACAAUUUGAAAAAUUCUUUACAGAAAACCAUGACAGACAGUUGUAUAUGACAGGCCUGGCUUACAGUAUAUGCUCUGCUCUAAACUGCAAACGGUAAUUACAUUUGUAGUUGAAAUAUCCUGCUAGCAUAAAUAGAACACUAGCCACAAAUUCUUGCAUACAACUACUUAAUUCAAGCAGAAAAUUGGUCAGGUCUUUCACGAAGUAGAGAAGCAGCCUCUUCUGACCAAGGAAAUCUCGAGGUGUUUGCAUGGUCUAGUCACACGUUCACUUUUGCAAAGAUCCAUUCUCUUGUUCCAUGAGCUCCUCCCAAAGUCUUGAGUGUUUAGCCAUUAAGCAUUCUCUUGAGUAUUUAACACGUUGGCAGUCAAAAUGUUGAUCAAAGGUGGAAAAGAAGUGACACUCCCGAUUGUGCUUAACCUGAUGGGAAUGUUUUGUACAUAUUUAGAGGUACGGGAAAUAAUAUUUGUGUAAAUAAAUAGGCUGUAAUCCAGGGUUGAAUGUGUAUUGCCCCUCCAUUAGAGGCAAUAUAGUACCAAGGAGCUGCAUGGCCAAAGAGUAAAUCCAGUUCCCCCUCUCUAUCCCAUCCUGUCAAACAGCUGAUGGACACUAAUCAAGCAGCAGAACAGCAUGUACUGUAUAUGCCCCUUAUCUGAAGCUGGGCAAUAGUACUUCCAGUCUAAUCUCGAAGUCUAGUUUGAGGUUGGGUGAACUAACAGCUUGGUUUAGGGGAUGUUUUGCACAUGUUUCUUUCAGGAUGCCAAGCAAAUCACCUGGACCUGAACAUUUGGUAUUGAAAAAAAGAGCACAUGUACACUAGUACAUGUAGACUACUUUGGCUUCCUAUGCUAGCCAAUAUCUCUUAAAAGACAAAACGUUACGGGGUGUAAUACAGCCUGAAAACAUUACUCACAGUUUCUUCAGUUACAUUAACACAGGGAAAGAGAAACAGGAAAAUGACUACUUAUAUAAAACUGUAAUUUUUUCCCCAAUGAGGAAGUUGCUAUGCAAUCUUCUGUAUUCUUCCUUGAGACCAUUUGAUUUAGUUCUUGUAAAAUAGCAGUUACAAGCUCUGGAUCAUGGAUCCUAUUUGCAGUGAGCCCUAUCCUGCUUGGAUAUCACAUCACAAAUUAAUGAAGUGAUAUUCUGCUGACAGCUUUUUAUGGGACAUGGUCUGGAAAGGAAUAACACAAAUUAAGUUCAAACAGAAAUGCUAUUUAAGAGAAUAUCCAGAGGAGAGUGACAGAAAACUAUUUUCUUCCUUUUUCCUACUGACCAAGAGUUCUUAUCUGACAUAAUUUUUUCCAAUGGCCUAAAUUUCUCCUCCAAGAAGUAAUAUUCCAUUAUUUCCUUUUGAAUGUAUGGUCCCUUGCAGUACAAAAUAGGAGACAACCCUUUCCAGCUUUAGCAGGCAGCCACUAGACUACUUUACUUGAGAAUGCUCAGAGUGUGUGAAUAUAUUUUGUAUAAAUUUCCACACAUUAUUAUUUGCAUACUAUUAUUUAGUUUGUAAGACAGAACCCAGAAAGAUUUUCUGCUUCCAGACUUAAACCUAAACCAGGGUUGAUCUUGCUUUUCACAUAUGAUCUGACUUCAGUGAGCAUGAAACUGAAACUGCAGCUUUAAGUAGAAAACAUUUCCAAAGAAGUCCCACUCAACGGUAAAAGCUUGAGAGUUCAGAAGCAUGCUCCUUGAUCCAAUGUGCUGUCUGCAAAGACAAAUUGCAGUAAAAUGACAUGUUGAACUCACUUCACAUCCUCUAUACCCUUAUUGAUACAUAACUAGACUCUCUGUAUUUCCAUGAUCUGUUGAAUUCACCAUGGUGGAAACUUCUAUUAGUCUGCAGAUUUGAAAAACAACUUCUUUAUACUUGCCACAGUCUGUGCAAAAUCUUCUCUCUUAGCUUUUCUCAUUACUUAGAGAAUAUUUUAUUUUGCCCAAGCAAGUCUUAGUCCCUUGCUGUUUCCUUUUGUAUGGUGGUGAUAAACUAGGGUGAUUCACAAAAUGUCCAGAGAGAAUUAUACACAGUUUAUUUUACAUUUAAAAAAUUGAUGAUUGAACAUGAAGAAGAGUCCUCGUGCAUCUUGUAGAGAAGAGACAUGGCCGAUGGACUCCGAAUAUGGUUUUUAUGCACAGUAGGUAUCUGCCUUGACAACCUGACAAUACAUGGUCAUUGCAAAUGUCAAUCCAAGAAUCUGUAGGAACAAAAAAGUAGUCAGGAUUAAGAAACAUACACCUCAAACCUUGUUAACAUGUAUUUAAAUAAAUACCCUGUCCUACUGACUAAAAA
Long non-coding RNA from Hemicordylus capensis (graceful crag lizard), 11099 nucleotides. RefSeq lists it as uncharacterized. NCBI's taxonomy places the organism in Eukaryota, Metazoa, Chordata, Lepidosauria, Squamata, Cordylidae. The transcript has 2 exons. The record is from RefSeq and is a predicted model, not a curated record.